GACGAACGCUGGCGGCGUGCUUAACACAUGCAAGUCGAACGGAAAGGCCCUGCUUUUGUGGGGUGCUCGAGUGGCGAACGGGUGAGUAACACGUGAGUAACCUGCCCUUGACUUUGGGAUAACUUCAGGAAACUGGGGCUAAUACCGGAUAGGAGCUCCUGCUGCAUGGUGGGGGUUGGAAAGUUUCGGCGGUUGGGGAUGGACUCGCGGCUUAUCAGCUUGUUGGUGGGGUAGUGGCUUACCAAGGCUUUGACGGGUAGCCGGCCUGAGAGGGUGACCGGCCACAUGGGGACUGGGAUACGGCCCAGACUCCUACGGGAGGCAGCAGUGGGGAAUAUUGCACAAUGGGCGGAAGCCUGAUGCAGCAACGCCGGGUGCGGGAUGACGGCCUUCGGGUUGUAAACCGCUUUCGCCUGUGACGAAGCGUGAGGGACGGGAAUGGGUAAAGAAGCACCGGCUAACUACGG
RNAcentral lists this ribosomal RNA (467 nucleotides) under uncultured bacterium. RNAcentral describes it as "partial 16S ribosomal RNA". It matches the Rfam family "Bacterial small subunit ribosomal RNA", at positions 28 to 506 of the family's 1533-position model. The record is from RNAcentral.